GAUGAAGAACGUAGCGAAAUGCGAUAAGUAAUGCGAAUUGCAGAAUUCAGUGAGUCAUCGAAUCUUUGAACGCACAUUGCGCCCUGUGGUAUUCCGCAGGGCAUGCCUGUUCGAGCGUCAUUCCAACCCUCAAGCUCUGCUUGGUGUUGGGCCCUGCCCGCUGCGGCCGGCCCUAAAGACAGUGGCGGUGCCGCCUGGCCCUGAGCGUAGUACAUCUCUCGCUCCAGUGCCCGGUGGUAGCCUGCCAGAACCCCAACUCUCGUGGUUGACCUCGGAUCAGGUAGGGAUACCCGCUGAACUUAAGCAUAUCAAUAAGCGGGGA
This 322-nucleotide unclassified non-coding RNA is filed under the name soil metagenome. Its description in RNAcentral is "partial contains 5.8S ribosomal RNA, internal transcribed spacer 2, and large subunit ribosomal RNA". The stretch from base 1 to 120 matches the Rfam family "5.8S ribosomal RNA", at positions 35 to 154 of the family's 154-position model. The record is from RNAcentral.